GUUACCCUGCUGUGUUCGUGAUGCGGCACUCGAUGUUUUGAGCCAACACUUUAAAUUAUGGGUUCUCAUCUUAUGUUGGUUACGCGAUAGGCGCAAGCCAAGGCGGAUCUAACAGGUCGGAGCCCGACCUGCGCAAGCAGGUUCAAAACUACGCAGCACACGGCAUGGUGGGGUAUUU
RNAcentral lists this non-coding RNA (178 nucleotides) under Anaerolineaceae bacterium. RNAcentral's name for it is "6S RNA". It matches the Rfam family "6S / SsrS RNA". Rfam says of the family: E. coli 6S RNA was the first non coding RNA to be sequenced, but its function was unknown until recently. It consists of 184 nucleotides that fold into an extended hairpin structure with a large single-stranded internal bulge. The 6S RNA specifically associates with RNA polymerase holoenzyme containing the sigma70 specificity factor. The record is from RNAcentral. Lineage: Bacteria; Bacillati; Chloroflexota; Anaerolineae; Anaerolineales; Anaerolineaceae.